Non-coding RNA from Biomphalaria pfeifferi, 244 nucleotides. The record is from the annotation of a GenBank genome assembly. NCBI's taxonomy places the organism in Eukaryota, Metazoa, Mollusca, Gastropoda, Planorbidae.
AAAUUUGUCAAAAAGAAUUCAAUCACUCCUCCACUUUGAAAUACCAUGAUUUAAUACACUCUGGAAAAAGCAAUUUGAAUGUAAAAUUUGUCACAAAGCAUUUAAUUGGUCCUCUGCCUUAAAACUCCAUAAACUAAUACACUCUGGUAAGAAAACAUUUAAAUGUACAAUCUGUAAGAAAGAAUUCAAUUAGUCUCAUCAUUUAAAAUCCCAUAAGCUGAUACAUUCUGGUGAAAAGCCAUUU